This 760-nucleotide long non-coding RNA is filed under the name Vulpes vulpes (red fox). RNAcentral describes it as "lncRNA (ENSVVUG00000010667.1)". The record is from RNAcentral. Lineage: Eukaryota; Metazoa; Chordata; Mammalia; Carnivora; Canidae.
GGGGCACCUUGGUGGCUCAGUGUUUGAGCAUCUGCCGUUGGCUCAGGGCAUGAUCCUGGGAUUCCUGGGAUUGAGUCCCGCAUCAGGCUUUCCACAGGGAGCCUGCUUCUCUCUGCUUAUGUCACUGCCUCUCUCUGUGUCUCCCAUGAAUAAAUAAAUAAAAUCUUAAAACACAGACACACACACACACACAUACACACAACCAAAAUAGCUGUCAAGUUCCUGGUCCUGUGCCCAGCACGGGGUGGCCUCCCCCUCUGAGAACGGCCCCAUCAGAGCCACCCUGAGCCCUCCUUCCUGGGUGAUGUGGGAAUUACAUUAUGUCAUAAACAGAUGCUGGCCUUGCCUGUGAGCGUGCUUGACAAGAUGCGCACUUUAAACUGAUUUUCUCUGUCCUUCAACUGAAAUGAGGUGAAACAAAUAGCCAGACAGUAUUGGAGAUACACGCCUUUCCCAAGCUCCCAUUCAAUGUGAACCCCUCAACACAAGGGUCUUCCUCCCCACACAGAAGCUGUGCUCAAAGUAGCCCCAGUGAGGGCCAAGCCAAGAGGAAGUCACAGAGGCCAAAGCUGAAGACGUGUAGACCUUGUAAGACAAGCAGGAACCACUCUGGAUCUAAUUUCACUUUUGCAGGGGUCUCAUGGCUCCCUAAGUCUCAGAGCUCACCUCCUCAAGGCUGAAGGCUCCUUUACACUGCGAGCUCCUUGCCACACUCAAGAUCAUGUGGACACAGAGAGCCCCGAGGGCACUCACACCACCC